Molecule: ribosomal RNA, 206 nt
Filed under: uncultured bacterium
Lineage: Bacteria
Description: partial 16S ribosomal RNA
Rfam family: Bacterial small subunit ribosomal RNA
Source: RNAcentral
CGCGUAGGCGGAUGUUUAAGUCAGAGGUGAAAGCCCAGGGCUCAACCUUGGAACUGCCUUUGAUACUGGACAUCUUGAGUAUGGGAGAGGUGAGUGGAACUCCGAGUGUAGAGGUGAAAUUCGUAGAUAUUCGGAAGAACACCAGUGGCGAAGGCGACUCACUGGCCCAUUACUGACGCUGAGGCGCGAAAGCGUGGGAGCAAACA